GGAUGCGAUAAUACCAACACUAAAGCACUGGAUCCCAUCAGAAUUCCAAAGUUAAGCAUGCUUGGGCGAGAGUGGUACCAGGAUGGGUGACCUCCUGGGAAGUCCUCGUGUUGCAUUCC
Non-coding RNA from Triticum aestivum (bread wheat), 119 nucleotides. Lineage: Eukaryota; Viridiplantae; Streptophyta; Magnoliopsida; Poales; Poaceae. The record is from Rfam.